This 253-nucleotide ribosomal RNA is filed under the name uncultured bacterium. RNAcentral describes it as "partial 16S ribosomal RNA". It matches the Rfam family "Bacterial small subunit ribosomal RNA", at positions 524 to 776 of the family's 1533-position model. The record is from RNAcentral.
UACGUAGGGUGCAAGCGUUAAUCGGAAUUACUGGGCGUAAAGCGUGCGCAGGCGGUUUUGUAAGUCUGUUGUGAAAUCCCCGGGCUCAACCUGGGAAUGGCAAUGAAGACUGCAAGGCUAGAGUUUGGCAGAGGGGGGUAGAAUUCCACGUGUAGCAGUGAAAUGCGUAGAUAUGUGGAGGAACACCGAUGGCGAAGGCAGCCCCCUGGGUCAAAACUGACGCUCAUGCACGAAAGCGUGGGGAGCAAACAGG